GGACGAACGCUGGCGGCGUGCUUAACACAUGCAAGUCGAACGAUGAAGCCCCUUCGGGGGUGGAUUAGUGGCGAACGGGUGAGUAACACGUGGGCAAUCUGCCCUGCACUCUGGGACAAGCCCUGGAAACGGGGUCUAAUACCGGAUACGACACAGGGAGGCAUSUCCUCUGUGUGGAAAGCUCCGGCGGUGCAGGAUGAGCCCGCGGCCUAUCAGCUUGUUGGUGAGGUAACGGCUCACCAAGGCGACGACGGGUAGCCGGCCUGAGAGGGCGACCGGCCACACUGGGACUGAGACACGGCCCAGACUCCUACGGGAGGCAGCAGUGGGGAAUAUUGCACAAUGGGCGCAAGCCUGAUGCAGCGACGCCGCGUGAGGGAUGACGGCCUUCGGGUUGUAAACCUCUUUCAGCAGGGAAGAAGCGCAAGUGACGGUACCUGCAGAAGAAGCGCCGGCUAACUAC
Molecule: ribosomal RNA, 463 nt
Filed under: Streptomyces thermoviolaceus subsp. thermoviolaceus
Lineage: Bacteria; Bacillati; Actinomycetota; Actinomycetes; Kitasatosporales; Streptomycetaceae
Description: bacterial SSU rRNA
Rfam family: Bacterial small subunit ribosomal RNA
Source: RNAcentral